RNAcentral lists this ribosomal RNA (465 nucleotides) under uncultured bacterium. Its description in RNAcentral is "partial 16S ribosomal RNA". It matches the Rfam family "Bacterial small subunit ribosomal RNA", at positions 338 to 795 of the family's 1533-position model. The record is from RNAcentral.
CCUACGGGAGGCAGCAGUGGGGAAUAUUGCGCAAUGGGCGAAAGCCUGACGCAGCGACGCCGCGUGAGGGAUGAAGGUCUUCGGAUCGUAAACCUCUGUCAGCAGGGAAGAACGGUCACUGUGCUAAUCAGCAGUGAAUUGACGGUACCUGCAAAGGAAGCACCGGCUAACUCCGUGCCAGCAGCCGCGGUAAUACGGAGGGUGCGAGCGUUAAUCGGAAUUACUGGGCGUAAAGCGCUCGUAGGCGGUAUGUCAAGUCAAGGGUGAAAUCCCCGCGCUCAACGUGGGAACUGCCUUUGAAACUGGCAAACUGGAGUGUGGGAGAGGAUAGUGGAAUUGCAGGUGUAGGGGUGAAAGCCGUAGAUAUCUGGAGGAACAUCAGUGGCGAAGGCGACUAUCUGGCACAUAACUGACGCUGAGGAGCGAAAGCGUGGGUAGCAAACAGGAUUAGAUACCCGGGUAGUC